Molecule: long non-coding RNA, 257 nt
Filed under: Pan troglodytes (chimpanzee)
Lineage: Eukaryota; Metazoa; Chordata; Mammalia; Primates; Hominidae
Description: long non-coding RNA NONPTRT004306
Source: RNAcentral
UUAGUUAAUUUGGGACUUCAACUCCAUUUACAAAAUCCCUUCACCGCAUUUCCUAGAUUAGUAUUGAAUGAAGAAUCAGGGAACUGGAAUUUUGGUAGAGAAAUUGAUAAAAGUACACCUUCCUCACAGAAUUUUACCAAGGGCUUUUAUAUGCAAGAUUCUUUGAACAAAGCUUAAAAGAAAUUUCAUGAUUUGCAUUGUAUAAGAUAAUACAUAGUAUUUAAAUUAAUCACUCAAAGCUAUGUCAUGGAUAAGUA